CCUGCCUUCACCCGACACCCAUGGAUGCUGAUGCUCCCGUUCUAUGCCUCUCGGGUUUGAGCUGCAAACGUGCUUGCCUGCGGCUCUGCUGUCCUUCGGCUUCCUCGUUUGUUCCUGCUUCUAUACAAGUAUCUGCCAGUUGUUGAUUCUUCCAGAGCGUCUGCUGUGUUCUUGGUGUCUCUGACAAGACUGUAAGCUGCCUGAAAAUACGGAUCGCCUUCGAAUUGUAGAACUGAGAAAUGGCGGGGAGCAGGCACAGUGUCUUUGAGAUGAUCCAGGAGCCACACAGAGGCGGGGAAAUGAGAGCAGAGAAACUGGCCCAGGCCCAGGGGGCCUCGGAGUCCAGGCGGGACCUUGGUCUCUGAUUGUGCCUCAGAAGUGAAUCAGCACCGCCGCCUUCUGUCCUUGGGAUGCUCCACUGAGCACCACCGUGGGAUUCGCCAACAGCCACGCAGGGCCCUCGGCCCGGCCUUGCCCCACGGGCACUCCUGGCAGGACAGACAGACACACGGCUGGAAGGAUGCGUUCUCCCAAGGAAACUGGUGCUGUGUGGACCACAGGCAGGUGUGCCUUUAUAGCAACACAAAUGGACUAAGACAACAGCCAUCAGUGAGCCAAGGAGAAAUAUGAGUUUCUGACCUACAUCAUUUUCCUUCUCUGAAGAACUUCUUGUAACAUUUCUUACAAGGCAGAUCUACUGACAACAAAUCCCCUUAAGAAUUAAUGUUUCAUGUUCAACCUGAAGUCUGAUGAGUCCUUUAAGUCCACGCUGGGACAGUGGAUGAUGUGGGCAGCAGGCCUGUGACUCCACGUGGACCCCCAUGAAUGCUGUCAGCGUGUCUACGCGAAGCUGUGCCAUUUACAGGAGAAACACUGGGUGGUGAGACUUGGAUGAGGUCAGCAGAGAAAGCGGCUAAACAGAUUCAGCCGUCCCCUCAGGUGACUGUGGAGCUAUGAAGACCUAAGGCAGGUACUUCUGUGCUAGCAAGGAAGGAUGUUUAUGAUAUAAUUUGAGGGGAAGAUAUAAAUCAGAGGUGUGGGGUGUGCAGAGGCCCCUGCCUUCCCCAGUGGGUGGACAGUACCUACACUGACACCCCCAUCAAGCGAAAGGUACUUGCCUUAGGCUGCAGGGUGCUUAAACAUUUCAAAGGUCAAUUGAAGAAAGAAGUAGAAAGAACAUUAGGAGAGGUAGUGGUGCGUGCCGAGGCACUGAGUGUGAGGAACAAGGUGCUUUCACGGGCUGUCUGCGCCCAGGUGCAGCCGGCGUCCCUGGGCCUGACAGUGGCCGGAUAGGCAGGUCCCGGAAGAGGCAUGUUUGCAAGCACCCAGCUAAGCCAGGGAGCAGCCGACCAGCAAAACAGGUCAGCUCUCGGGGACUCUUCAACCCCAGGGCUGUGGGGAGCACUGCGUGGAUUUUAAGCAAAUCCAAGUGACAAAACCAAUGGGCAUUUAGAAAUAUCAUCACAGUUACACGUAGAAAACUAACUGGAGGCCAAGUAACUGGAGGCCAAGCACCGUGACUCACACCUAUAAUCCCAGCACUUUGGGAGGCUGAGGCAGAAGGACUGUUUGAGCCCAGGAGUUUGAGACCAGUCUGGGCAACAUGACGAAACCCCAUCUCUACAAACAAUACAAACAUUAGCCAGGCAUGUGCACACUUGUGGUCCCAGCUACUCAGGAGGCUGAAGAGGGAGGAGGGCUUGAACCCGGGAGGCAGAGGUUGCAGUGAACCAAGACCACACCACUGCACUCCAGCCUGGGCAAUAGAGCCA
Molecule: non-coding RNA, 1772 nt
Organism: Macaca mulatta (Rhesus monkey)
Lineage: Eukaryota; Metazoa; Chordata; Mammalia; Primates; Cercopithecidae
Source: RefSeq, a predicted model, not a curated record